RNAcentral lists this ribosomal RNA (1332 nucleotides) under uncultured organism. RNAcentral's name for it is "bacterial SSU rRNA". It matches the Rfam family "Bacterial small subunit ribosomal RNA", at positions 120 to 1436 of the family's 1533-position model. The record is from RNAcentral.
UGCAACCUACCUUUAACUGGGGCAUAGCUCCGAGAAAUCGGGAUUAAUACCCCAUAAUGUUACAAUUUCGCAUGUUAUUGUAACUAAAACUCCGGUGGUUAAAGAUGGGCAUGCGUGUCAUUAGCUUGUUGGUGAGGUAACGGCUCACCAAGGCUACGAUGACUAGGGGGUCUGAGAGGAUGAUCCCCCACACUGAUACUGAGACACGGACCAGACUCCUACGGGAGGCAGCAGUGAGGAAUAUUGGUCAAUGGGCGAAAGGCCUGAACCAGCCAUGCCGCGUGCAGGAUGACAGCCCUAUGGGUCGUAAACUUGCUUUAAUACGGGAAGAAACCCCUGAUCGUGAUCGGGGCUUGACGGAACCGUAAGAAUAAGGAUCGGCUAACUCCGUGCCAGCAGCCCGCGGUUAAUACGGAGGAUCCUAGCGUUAUCCGGAUUUAUUGGGUUUAAAAGGGUGCGUAUGCAGUAAUAAUUAAGUCCAGCGGUGAAAUCCUGCAGCAUAACUGUAGAAAUUGCCAUUUGAUACUGUUAUCCUUGAAGUGCCAAUUAAGCGUAGGCAGGCAUGUGUACAUGUAGCCGGUGAAAUGCUUAGAUAAAACCCAGAACACGAAUUGCCGUAGGCAGCUUGCUAAGCUGUGAUUGACGCUGAGGCACGAAAGCGUGGGUAGCAAACAGGAUUAGAUACCCUGGUAGUCCACGCCGUAAACGAUGAUUACUCGAUGUGUGCAAUAUAUCGUACGCGUCUGAGCGAAAGCAUUAAGUAAUCCACCUGGGGAGUACGGCCGCAAGGUUGAAACUCAAAGGAAUUGACGGGGGCCCGCACAAGCGGAGGAACAUGUGGUUUAAUUCGAUGAUACGCGAGGAACCUUACCUGGGCUUAAAUGUAUUCUGACGUUCCGGGAAACUGGAAUUCCCUUCGGGGCAGAUUACAAGGUGCUGCAUGGUUGUCGUCAGCUCGUGCCGUGAGGUGUCGGGUUAAGUCCCAUAACGAGCGCAACCCCUAUUGUUAGUUGCCAGCGGAUAAUGCCGGGGACUCUAACGAAACUGCCAGUGUAAACUGUGAGGAAGGUGGGGAUGACGUCAAAUCAGCACGGCCCUUACGUCCAGGGCUACACACGUGUUACAAUGGUCGGUACAAAGGGCAGCUACCACGCGAGUGGAUGCUAAUCUCCAAAACCGAUCUUAGUUCGGAUUGAAGUCUGCAACUCGACUUCAUGAAGCUGGAUUCGCUAGUAAUCGCACAUCAGCCAUGGUGCGGUGAAUACGUUCCCGGGCCUUGUACACACCGCCCGUCAAGCCAUGGAAGCCGGGGGUACCUGAAGUCCGUAACCG